UAUUAAUCCCGUUACCAACAAUGCACGUACCGGUAUCGACGUGAUACAUUAACAAAGGAAGGUCUAGGAAUUAAUUAUAAACAAAGUCUCACAGCGCGCGUCUCAGGCAGCUGAGACGUCACCCGCACGCGUCAUAACAAACCGAGAUCUUUGAGUUUCUCGGAGCUUCGCAAAUCGCAAGUACCGUUUGCUGUGUUGUGCUUCGGAUCGAGUGAACGUUAUCGUUUUCGACUGUGCAAUAUAAGCACUGAUCAGAAUGCCACGAAGGUGUUGCAUGCCAAAUUGCAGAGACAAUUACGGCAAUGGGCCUAAAGUUUCCGUGUUUUAUAUUCCGUCUGAUGAAUCUACGACGGGAAUGGAUCUCGGCUGUUCACAAGCAAGACUGGGUGCAUAGUAAACAUUCAGUUGUUUGUAAGCAGCAUUUCAACUAAGAAGAUACAUUAAGCAGUACAAGUAUGUACGACCCAAGAACUGGCAAACUGUUAACAGCAGCACCACUGGAUCGUCUACGCUUAAGAAAAGUUAGGUUAAAGAACCAAAUGUUAGGCAGAGGCCUAUUUGUAAAUUAUAAUGUAAUAAGGAGAAAGUUAGUUGUAUAGUUGCAUGUCGUUUGACGUUAAGAUUUUCUUUUUCAGGUGCUAUACCUACAAAGUUACCGUAUGCCCUUGAUAUUUGUCCAAUAUGCCGACAUCAUCCCGAGAGGACCCCGAAAGUCGCAGGGAGCUGCAACAAAACUGCCCUUCGCACUGCCAUUCGAGAAAGUGUAGAAACGCAAGAGAAAUUGAUAGAAACGAUUUCUGUCUGUAAUUUAGAGUAGUUGAAACGCAAAAUAAGUGACUGUGAUAAGCAUUGCGACGGAAUUGUAGUUAACAAAUUAGAGAGCGAGUGCUUAUUGUUAAUUAACCACAAUCCUUCCCCAAGAGUUAUCUGCUACUGUGUUAUAAACAGUGAUUUAUCUCUAAGCGUUUUUAUUAACGAUGUGGAAUUGAAAUGUGUUGAGAAGAUGAAAUUUUCCAAAAGUCUGCAACACACAGGAUGUGAGUGAAAAUUUAUUUGGUGUAUAAUAAAUGUGAGGUUCCUGUUGAUAA
Molecule: long non-coding RNA, 1088 nt
Organism: Schistocerca cancellata (South American locust)
Lineage: Eukaryota; Metazoa; Arthropoda; Insecta; Orthoptera; Acrididae
Exons: 2
Source: RefSeq, a predicted model, not a curated record